UGAUUGUCGUUUUCUGUUUGCUCACGAUGGGAAAAGACGAAACUGGUGAAACACAGACAGUGCAACCAGAAUCCCGUUCUUUGGGAAAUCGGAUUCCUGUCCCCAGAAAUCAUUUGUGUUGUCAUUGGUAGAAAAGGUCGGGAGUUCAGGGUGAGGAAGACUCGCCUUACUUCCUCCUUUUAAAACCCCUCCUCACGGAAACGACCCCAGACUUAAUUUAAGAAGUCAAUCAGUGCUUAACAGCGGUUCAAGGUAAUUAGCACGGGAAGCGGGGAUGGGAGGGGCUGCUAUAAUUAAUAUGUAUUGGUUUGAAUUAAUCAAUAAAGGCAUUUUUGAUCACCUGUGAAUUUGCAGUUCAUAUUAGAAGAUUAUCUCUAAUUAAUACACACACUUUCUAACUUUCAGUUGUUAGAGAGUCUUUUGUUGAGUGUCGGUGUUGGACAAUAAUCGCAUUUUCGGUGAAUCGCUCUCCCCGCAGCCUCGCUGGGCACGCUGGAGGUUCUGUCGCUCGUGGUCAGCCUGAUCCUGGCGGCCAUCGCGGCCACGUCCUCCUUCAUCUACAGGUGAGGGCGGUAUUGGUUUGAAUUAAUCAAUAAAGGCAUUUUUGAUCACCUGUGAAUUUGCAGUGCGUGUUAGAGGAUGUCCCCUCCCCGUGGCACACGGGUGUCCCUGUGCCCGUGACACGCAGGUGUCCCCGUGGCACACAGGUGUCCCUGUCCCCAUGGCACACAGGUGUCCCUGUGGCACACAGGUGUCCCUGUCCCCGUGGCACACAGGUGUCCCCGUGGCACACAGGUAUCCCUGUCCCCGUGGCACACAGGUGUCCCUGUGGUACCCAGGUGUCCCUGUCCCCGUGGCACAUAGACGUCCCCAUGGCUCACAGGUGUCCCCGUGGCACACAGGUGUCCCUGUCCCCAUGGCACACAGGUGUCCCCAUGGCAGACAGGUGUCCCUGUCCCCAUGGCACAUAGGUGUCCCCAUGGCACACAGGUGUCCCCGUGGCACACAGGUGUCCCCGUGGCAGACAGGUGUCCCUGUCCCCAUGGCACAUAGGUGUCCCCAUGGCACACAGGUGUCCCCGUGGCACACAGGUGUCCC
Molecule: long non-coding RNA, 1098 nt
Filed under: Ficedula albicollis (Collared flycatcher)
Lineage: Eukaryota; Metazoa; Chordata; Aves; Passeriformes; Muscicapidae
Description: lncRNA (ENSFALG00000027408.1)
Source: RNAcentral